CCCGGUGAUCUAGCCAUGGGCAGGUUGAAGGUUGGGUAACACUAACUGGAGGACCGAACCGACUAAUGUUGAAAAAUUAGCGGAUGACCUGUGGCUGGGGGUGAAAGGCCAAUCAAACCGGGAGAUAGCUGGUUCUCCCCGAAAGCUAUUUAGGUAGCGCCUCGUGAAUUCAUCUCCGGGGGUAGAGCACUGUUUCGGCUAGGGGGCCAUCCCGGCUUACCAACCCGAUGCAAACUGCGAAUACCGGAGAAUGUUAUCACGGGAGACACACGGCGGGUGCUAACGUCCGUCGUGAAGAGGGAAACAACCCAGACCGCCAGCUAAGGUCCCAAAGUCAUGGUUAAGUGGGAAACGAUGUGGGAAGGCCCAGACAGCCAGGAUGUUGGCUUAGAAGCAGCCAUCAUUUAAAGAAAGCGUAAUAGCUCACUGGUCGAGUCGGCCUGCGCGGAAGAUGUAACGGGGCUAAACCAUGCACCGAAGCUGCGGCAGCGA
RNAcentral lists this ribosomal RNA (492 nucleotides) under Salmonella enterica subsp. enterica serovar Paratyphi B var. L(+) tartrate +. RNAcentral's name for it is "partial 23S ribosomal RNA". It matches the Rfam family "Bacterial large subunit ribosomal RNA", at positions 721 to 1211 of the family's 2925-position model. The record is from RNAcentral. Lineage: Bacteria; Pseudomonadati; Pseudomonadota; Gammaproteobacteria; Enterobacterales; Enterobacteriaceae.